CCACGAUAAAUCUUACCACUUCUUGCAUAGUCAAGUUUUAUUAAUAUUUAGUUAGUAUUCUAACUUAUUAACUGUAAUAUUUAUAUAUUGAUUACAGGUGUUGCAUGGCUGUCUUUAGUUCGUGUUGUGAAAUGUUAGGUUAAUUCCGAAAACGAACGCAAACCUUAUCCUUAAUUAUUUAUUCCUUAAUUGUUUUCUUAAAAAAAAAAGUUAAGUUAUUUAUUAAGGAAAUGUCUAUCGAUUUUAUAAAAUAACUAGGAUGAAAACAAGUCCUCAUGACCCUUAUGAAGUGGGCUACAGACGUGCUGNCAAAAGUUUCUACAAUGGGAUGCAAAGAUUAAAAUCAGAGCUAAUCCUUAA
Molecule: ribosomal RNA, 360 nt
Filed under: Pneumocystis carinii
Lineage: Eukaryota; Fungi; Ascomycota; Pneumocystomycetes; Pneumocystales; Pneumocystaceae
Description: SSU rRNA
Rfam family: Bacterial small subunit ribosomal RNA
Source: RNAcentral